GACGAACGCUGGCGGCGUGCUUAACACAUGCAAGUCGAACGGAAAGGCCCCUUCGGGGGUACUCGAGUGGCGAACGGGUGAGUAACACGUGAGUAACCUGCCCUGACUUCGGGAUAACUUCAGGAAACUGGGGCUAAUACCGGAUAGGAAUCCUUGCUGCAUGGUGGGGGUUGGAAAGCUUCGGCGGUUUUGGAUGGACUCGCGGCUUAUCAGCUUGUUGGUGGGGUAGUGGCUUACCAAGGCUUUGACGGGUAGCCGGCCUGAGAGGGCGGCCGGCCACAUUGGGACUGAGAUACGGCCCAGACUCCUACGGGAGGCAGCAGUGGGGAAUAUUGCACAAUGGGCGGAAGCCUGAUGCAGCAACGCCGCGUGCGGGAUGACGGCCUUCGGGUUGUAAACCGCUUUCAGCAGGGGCGAAGCUUGUGGUGACGGUACCUGCAGAAGAAGCACCGGCUAACUACGUG
This 464-nucleotide ribosomal RNA is filed under the name uncultured bacterium. RNAcentral's name for it is "partial 16S ribosomal RNA". It matches the Rfam family "Bacterial small subunit ribosomal RNA", at positions 28 to 507 of the family's 1533-position model. The record is from RNAcentral.